AAGUCGUAACAAGGUCUCCGUAGGUGAACCUGCGGAGGGAUCAUUAUUGAAUUUUCUCAAAGAAAAAUUUUGUACUUUGCUGUUCUCUUGAAAGAGAGAACAGUAUACAGUACAAGAUUUUUUCUCAAACAAACGAUCACAACUAAUUGGAAAAGAAAAUUGGUUUGGUUUGGGUGAUUUGAAAACAAGUGUUUGCCUGAUAAUCAAGAUGAUUUGGAUUGGAGAAAGAAAUACAACUUUCAACAACGGAUCUCUUGGCUCUCA
This 264-nucleotide unclassified non-coding RNA is filed under the name fungal sp. RNAcentral's name for it is "partial internal transcribed spacer region". The stretch from base 1 to 46 matches the Rfam family "Eukaryotic small subunit ribosomal RNA", at positions 1786 to 1831 of the family's 1831-position model. The record is from RNAcentral. Lineage: Eukaryota; Fungi.